UACGGAGGGUGCAAGCGUUGUUCGGAUUGACUGGGCGUAAAGGGCGUGUAGGCGGUUUGUCAAGUCGGGUGUGAAAGCCUGGGGCUCAGCCUCAGAAGUGCAUCCGAAACUAGCGAGCUAGAGCGCGAUAGAGGAGGGUGGAAUUCCUGGUGUAGCGGUGAAAUGCGUAGAUAUCAGGAGGAACACCGGCGGCGAAGGCGGCCCUCUGGAUCGUUGCUGACGCUGAGGCGCGAAGGCCAGGGGAGCAAACGGG
This 253-nucleotide ribosomal RNA is filed under the name uncultured bacterium. RNAcentral describes it as "partial 16S ribosomal RNA". It matches the Rfam family "Bacterial small subunit ribosomal RNA", at positions 524 to 776 of the family's 1533-position model. The record is from RNAcentral.